CGGAGUGUAGCUCAGCUGGCUAGAGUAUUUGGUUAGGAGCCAAAGGGGCGGAGGUUCAAAUCCUUCUACUCCGA
RNAcentral lists this transfer RNA (74 nucleotides) under Parcubacteria bacterium RAAC4_OD1_1. It matches the Rfam family "tRNA". Rfam says of the family: Transfer RNA (tRNA) molecules are approximately 80 nucleotides in length. Their secondary structure includes four short double-helical elements and three loops (D, anti-codon, and T loops). The record is from Rfam by way of RNAcentral. RNAcentral also lists the same sequence under 1 other name. Lineage: Bacteria; Candidatus Parcubacteria.